Ictidomys tridecemlineatus (thirteen-lined ground squirrel) is the source of this 71-nucleotide non-coding RNA. Lineage: Eukaryota; Metazoa; Chordata; Mammalia; Rodentia; Sciuridae. The record is from Rfam.
GGAGUUGUGGCUCAGUGGUAGAGUGCUUGCCUGGCAUGCAUGAGGCCCUGGGUUCAGUCCUCAGCACUGCA